This 254-nucleotide ribosomal RNA is filed under the name uncultured bacterium. RNAcentral's name for it is "partial 16S ribosomal RNA". It matches the Rfam family "Bacterial small subunit ribosomal RNA", at positions 524 to 776 of the family's 1533-position model. The record is from RNAcentral.
UACGGGGGAGCAAGGCGUUGUUCGGAUUUACUGGGCGUAAAGGGCGCGUAGGCGGUCAGCACAAGUCAGUUGUGAAAUCUCCGGGCUUAACUCGGAAAGGUCAACUGAUACUGUGCGACUAGAGUGCAGAAGGGGCAACUGGAAUUCUCGGUGUAGCGGUGAAAUGCGUAGAUAUCGAGAGGAACACCUGCGGCGAAGGCGGGUUGCUGGGCUGACACUGACGCUGAUGCGCGAAAGCGUGGGGAGCGAACAGG